UUUUUGCGAUCAAAGCUGAUGGUACUAUCACAGUGAAAACCCCUCCAGAUUAUGAAAUCCUCAAUGAAUUCAGUAUUACAGUGACUGCAACAAACAACAAAACCGCUCCUUUCCAUCAGAAUCAAACAACCGUGAUUAUUUCUGUACUGGAUGUGAAUGAUAACCCUCCAGUGUUUCCUCAAAGUAACUAUACAGCCAGUGUGAAUCUGACAUCCCCACUGGGAACUCAAGUAACUUCAGUUACUGCUACUGAUAAAGAUCAGGGGAGUAAUGGUGUAAUAGAGUAUCAUCUACUGGAUGAUGAGCCGCACAGCAAAUACUUUCUUAUUGAGAACCAGCUUAAAGGAAGGAUUAUAACGAUACAGAAACUCCCCAGCUCUGGAGACUACUCCUUCAUUGUAGAAGCGCGGGACCGAGGUGAACCCUCACUCAACAGCACAGCCGUUGUUAAUGUGCAGGUUGUAGAUGACAGGCCUGAAGUGCCUGAUUUCAACAAGACUGA
Polyodon spathula (Mississippi paddlefish) is the source of this 502-nucleotide long non-coding RNA. RefSeq lists it as uncharacterized. The record is from RefSeq and is a predicted model, not a curated record. NCBI's taxonomy places the organism in Eukaryota, Metazoa, Chordata, Actinopteri, Acipenseriformes, Polyodontidae. The transcript has 3 exons.